This 152-nucleotide non-coding RNA is filed under the name Bifidobacterium pullorum subsp. gallinarum. RNAcentral's name for it is "Bifidobacterium gallinarum FMN sequence". It matches the Rfam family "FMN riboswitch aptamer (RFN element)". From Rfam's summary of the family: The RFN element is a highly conserved domain that is found frequently in the 5'-untranslated regions of prokaryotic mRNAs that encode for flavin mononucleotide (FMN) biosynthesis and transport proteins. This element is a metabolite-dependent riboswitch that directly binds FMN in the absence of proteins. Lineage: Bacteria; Bacillati; Actinomycetota; Actinomycetes; Bifidobacteriales; Bifidobacteriaceae. The record is from Rfam by way of RNAcentral.
CGCAAGUUUCAGGGAAGGUGCAAUUCCUUACUGGCGGUAACGGCGCAACCGGGGUUCAUAACGGUGGCCGCCGGAGCCCGCGACCCGCGAAUGCGGCUGAUCCGGUGCGAUUCCGGAGCCAACGGUUACAGUCCGGAUGGAAGAAACGAGGU